Peromyscus maniculatus bairdii (prairie deer mouse) is the source of this 1508-nucleotide long non-coding RNA. RefSeq lists it as uncharacterized. Lineage: Eukaryota; Metazoa; Chordata; Mammalia; Rodentia; Cricetidae. The record is from RefSeq and is a predicted model, not a curated record.
ACCGCGAGAGAGGAGCCGGCCGAGCCUCCGCCGAGAAGCCGCCCCUGAGCAGCUGCACACACCGCGACCCCGGUGCCGUCCGCCCCGUCCGCCGUCCGCUCCGGCCGCUCGCUGGCUGCGUGCGCGCGUGUGGAGUCGUGGCACUUUCUGCCUCGGAGCUGGCGAACGGCCCCCUCCGCCGGGAUCGCCGCCUCCUGCCUUCCCCACCCGGACCAGCCAUUCAUCGAGCUGCCUCUUCCCAUUGGUCCACUAGCCGCCACUCUACUGGCAACUGUCCAAUCAGAUCGCGGACUGCCGCUCCGCGGCGGCGGCCAUUGGGUAAAAAGGAGGGUCUACGUCUCAGCCAAUGGGAGAGGGGAGGAGCUGCGGGGAGCCGCGGGGGGCGGGGUCGAAGAGGGGCGGAGCCGCGCAGCGCAGCUCUCAGCUCUGCGCGGGGGGCGGGUCUCUAACGCCCCGCCCAUCUAGGGAGGUCGUCUGCCGGCCCCGCCCACUCAGGGCCGCGGCUCUCCACGCCACCGCUUUUUCCGAGUCGGCUCCGCCUAGGCAGAUGGAUUGUGGUUCGAAUCCCCAUGGCCGCGGGCUGCUCUUCCCGACACUGCCGGGCUUGGGUGGCGAUGGGUGUAACCCCGAGGAUUGCAUAACCCGUGAAUAACAGGGGAAAUGCUUUAUUUAAACCCAAGUAACUUGACACAAAGCACCAGCCCCUGGAUCUAAAGACAAGUUCUCCAAGGGUGAGAGCAGGAAGAAUAGGGCUUCUUUAUCUGCAAACAUUUUUUCUAGAUGGGAUUUUCUUGAAUAAAUGAAAGAACUGAGGUGGAAGAUCCAGAAAGAACAAAGGAAAUUGAGGUGGACUGCGUAUCAUUUCGUUAGGGAAGAUCUUGUACAAAUCACACAGCAAGAGUUACAGCAGGACAGCCGGCAGUGGCGGGAGGUGGCACGCCUUUAAGCCCAGUACUCCGGAGGCAGAGCCAGCACCGACACUCACUUGAAAUGAAAUUCAAGGAUUCCAGUUUCUGGCCAGCAGUUGCUACCAACUAGUCUGGCUGGACGAUGAGCAAGGCAUUUACCUCUCUGAGUAUAAAUGGACUUUAAGACGGUCACUCUCUCUUCUGGGGCUCCAGACCAUUCUUUGGAUACUAAUGAGGAGGAGGUUCAUCCUUCCAGACUUAAAACCUGCAGCUCCUCAGCCCCUCUUCCCCACUUCAUCACUGCGUGGCUCUCCUCAAACUCUGCUAAUCAGCUUUUUCCGUCCUUAUUUUGUUUUUUUAAUCAUCAGUGAGAGUUUUGAAGACGAUCCUUAUGCCAGAAGCAAGGGGGCGGGGGAAGUAAAAUAAAUUCUAAAAGGGCCCAGCAGGGUAACAGAGCUCCAUCUGAGUGUCAGGCUGACAGGCCCUACCACCAGCUGAUACAACAGCCCCAUCCCAGCUCAGCACAACCCUUCCCACAACCUAUUUCAAUUGCAACUGGGGAAGUCGGAUUGGGAAGCAAGGGAGCUUAGCCUGCAUCGC